This 292-nucleotide ribosomal RNA is filed under the name uncultured bacterium. Its description in RNAcentral is "partial 16S ribosomal RNA". It matches the Rfam family "Bacterial small subunit ribosomal RNA", at positions 505 to 796 of the family's 1533-position model. The record is from RNAcentral.
GUGCCAGCAGCCGCGGUAAUACGUAGGUGGCAAGCGUUGUCCGGAUUUAUUGGGUUUAAAGGGUGCGUAGGCGGCUUUGUAAGUCAGUGGUGAAAUACGGCAGCUCAACUGUCGAGGUGCCAUUGAUACUGCAGAGCUAGAGUACUGAUGAGGUAGGCGGAAUGGACGGUGUAGCGGUGAAAUGCUUAGAUAUCGUCCAGAACACCGAUAGCGAAGGCAGCUUACUAAAGAGUAACUGACGCUGAGGCACGAAAGUGUGGGGAUCAAACAGGAUUAGAAACCCUAGUAGUCC